RNAcentral lists this unclassified non-coding RNA (253 nucleotides) under uncultured Caryophanales bacterium. RNAcentral's name for it is "uncultured Bacillales bacterium contains 16S-23S intergenic spacer region". It matches the Rfam family "Bacterial small subunit ribosomal RNA", at positions 524 to 776 of the family's 1533-position model. The record is from RNAcentral. Lineage: Bacteria; Bacillati; Bacillota; Bacilli; Caryophanales.
UACGGAGGGUGCGAGCGUUAAUCGGAAUUACUGGGCGUAAAGCGCGCGCAGGCGGUCUCUUAAGUCUGAUGUGAAAGCCCACGGCUCAACCGUGGAGGGUCAUUGGAAACUGGGGAACUUGAGAACUGAAGAGGAGAGUGGAAUUCCACGUGUAGCGGUGAAAUGCGUAGAUAUGUGGAGGAACACCAGUGGCGAAGGCGACUCUCUGGUCGGUAAUUGACGCUGAGGCUCGAAAGCGUGGGGAGCAAACAGG